GACGAACGCUGGCGGCGUGCUUAACACAUGCAAGUCGAACGGAAAGGCCCUGCUUUUGUGGGGUGCUCGAGUGGCGAACGGGUGAGUAACACGUGAGUAACCUGCCCUUGACUUUGGGAUAACUUCAGGAAACUGGGGCUAAUACCGGAUAGGAGCUCCUGCUGCAUGGUGGGGGUUGGAAAGUUUCGGCGGUUGGGGAUGGACUCGCGGCUUAUCAGCUGGUUGGUUGGGUAGUGGCUUACCGAGGCUUUGACGGGUAGCCGGCCUGAGAGGGUGACCGGCCACAUUGGGACUGCGAUACGGCCCAGACUCCUACGGGAGGCAGCAGUGGGGAACAUUACACAAUGGGCGGAAGCCUGAUGCAGCAACGCCGCGAGCGGGAUAACGGCCUUCGGGUUGUAAACCGCUUUCGCCUGUGACGAAGCGUGAGUGACGGUAAUGGGUAAAGAAGCAACGGCUAACUACGUG
Molecule: ribosomal RNA, 468 nt
Filed under: uncultured bacterium
Lineage: Bacteria
Description: partial 16S ribosomal RNA
Rfam family: Bacterial small subunit ribosomal RNA
Source: RNAcentral